CCUACGGGUGGCAGCAGUGAGGAAUAUUGGUCAAUGGGCGGUAGCCUGAACCAGCCAAGUCGCGUGAAGGAAUAAGGCCCUACGGGUCGUAAACCUCUUUUGCCUGGGAGCAAGGUCGGGGACGUGUCCCGGCCCGGAGAGUACCCGUAGAAAAAGCAUCGGCAAACCCCGUGCAAGCGGCCGCGGUAAUACGGGGGAUGCGAGCGUUAUCCGGAUUUAUUGGGUUUAAAGGGUGCGUAGGCGGUCUUUUAAGUCGGCGGGAAAAAUUCGGGGCCAAACCCCGUCAGGCCGUUGAAACUGGGGGCCUUGAGUGGGCGAGAAGAAGGCGGAAUGCGUGGUGUAGCGGUGAAAUGCAUAGAUAUCACGCAGAACCCCGAUUGCGAAGGCAGCCUGCCGGCGCCUUACUGACGCUGAGGCACGAAAGUGUGGGGAUCGAACAGGAUUAGAUACCCGAGUAGUC
This 460-nucleotide ribosomal RNA is filed under the name uncultured bacterium. RNAcentral's name for it is "partial 16S ribosomal RNA". It matches the Rfam family "Bacterial small subunit ribosomal RNA", at positions 338 to 795 of the family's 1533-position model. The record is from RNAcentral.